AGAGCUGCUCCAACUGUGUGAGAACCGGACCACAGCCCAAAGGGAGACAACUGAUAGAAUUAACAGUAAAAAGCCUCAUGGAUCUGGAGUGGUACACAAGCCCUUGUACUCUCCUGCCUUUGGCCCCUUAGCACCCACCCAAACUUGUUUGUGAACCAAGUUUAUGUCUUCAUCACAGAGGAUACAUGAAGUCCUACCAGCUGCUGAAUUGUCAUGAGGUGACGUCAAUUCAGUCAUGCCCGGGGCUGGAGCUAAAACAUUAGUGAUCACUGGGAUUUUUCAUGCAACGUAGCAGAGGGAAAAAGGAAGAAAAAUCACAUGGCACCAAUAGUAGCGGAUCCAGUCCCCACACCUGUUAGCCGGACACUGCAGAGCCUCCUUCCUCUACCACACAUUCGUCUCUGUGUCUUCCUUUGUCUCUGCCAGACCAGUGGCUGGACAGGUCUUUCCUUCUGGUAUGUUUGAGCUUCAACCCUGAAUAUAGUUUGGAAGGACUGAUGCUGAAACUCCAAUACUUUGGCCACCUGAUGCAAAGAACUGACUCAUUGGAAAACACCCUGAUGCAGGAAAAGACUUAAGGCAGGAGAAGGGGACAACAGAGGAUAAGAUGGUUGGAUGGCAUCAUUGACUCAAUGGACAUGAGUUUAAGUAAGCUCCAGGAGGUGGUGAAGGACAGGAAAGCCUGGCAUGCUGCAGUCCAUGAAGUUGCAGAGUCAGACACCAUGGAGCGAUUGAACAACAACAAGCAGGUGUUUGUCCAGGUGCAAGCACUGCCGCAAAGGGUCCCAGAUGCCAGCCUUUCUCAAUACUGCUCAGGAUUCUCACCAGUCCAAACCACACAGAAGCCAGAAAGAAAAUGUUGACGUGGUCCAGCCAGAGUGGCCUCUGGGGGCAGAGAACUAGGUUGAGGAAGGAAUCCAGAAACACUGCUAUUCAGAUUCCUUACUACGAAUAAAGAAUCUGCUCACCAGAGUGAUCUAGCUGUGACCACCUUGCCCACUGAGGACCUCAGCACAGCUAGAGAUGGGAUAGCCAGAGGUGGGGAGCCUCCUGAUGGGAUGCUCUGUGAGGUACAGGACACCUCCUGGGGGGAUUCUUGCCAAAAUGUCUAAAGCUAGUCAUGUCUUUAGAUCUAACAACCAGUUUGUAGGGAAUACAGACAGUGGAGCACCAUGGUGAAAUAGUACAUGAAGAAACACAAAAGCAGGAGACAGGACCUCUUGUAAGACACCUGGUCUGCUUCCAGCCAACAGCCAAUUUUAUGGGAA
RNAcentral lists this long non-coding RNA (1268 nucleotides) under Capra hircus (goat). RNAcentral describes it as "lncRNA (ENSCHIG00000000832.1)". Lineage: Eukaryota; Metazoa; Chordata; Mammalia; Artiodactyla; Bovidae. The record is from RNAcentral.